AUUAUGGGUAUAAAUACACUUUUCUAAAAUAUUGCUCUCCCUCCACGAUUUCUCACCCACCAAAUAUUCCCUCCACCGUUUCAAACCCCCCAAAUGCUCAUACCAAAAUCAACUAGUAUACAAGACUGAAAGGGAAUGCUAGUGGGAUCAUCAUCACACAUCCUUGCUUUCCCUAAAUUUCCUCUAUUAUCAUCAUUUUCACCGUAAUAAAGAGAAAAUUUCAAUUACCGAAUGAAAUCCUAGAAUUCCUUUGUGCCUCAACAACUCUACCCUUUUGGUAGAAGAAGUUAUGGUUAUUCAUGGAUGAGCAUUGCAAUCCUCGAUCCCGGAAACCUAGAAGGGGAUCUUCAGGCCGAAGCCACUAUAGGGUACUCAAUGUUAUAGUUAUUGAUGUGAGUGAUGAUUACGGGGUUUGGGCGAGGGUUGGUGUGGCCAUGGGGCAUCAUCUUACCCAGAUUUUUUUUCUUUAUUUAUGGAUUAUCUUGCCCAAAUCUAUAGAGGUGAGAUUAUCUUACCCUUAGUUCUUUUCUUUUCCCGAUUUUUUAUUUUCAUUAAAAUAAAUUUAUUUUCAUAUUCAUUUUCAUUUUCAUGUUCAUGCUUUCGAAACUCUAAUGGUGAGUUUCCUCUCUUUAUUUUAUCGUUAAUUUGAAUGCAAAUAUAUGAUUGUUUUUACUCCAAUUAGGUCUCAAUUAUUCUGUUGUAUGACUUGCAUUUCGUGAGGUUUUUGCAAUUCAUUUGGAAAAUUGGGAAUCGAUUGGGUAAUCAUGGUGCACUCACCACUGCCACUUCAAAACCCUAGAAUUUCAUUUGGGUUUUAGGACUUCACAUUUUACUUGCUAUUAUGAACAUGAGUUUUUCUACACAAACAAGUCUAAGGUAAUGGCGACAAUUGGGUUGUUUAUGAUGAGAUAAUAUUUGCACAUGUUCUAAUUAUUUGCUUUUUUAUUUAUGGGUUGUUGUUUUCUUUCUUUUCUUUUAUUUUCUUCUGAUUGUUUUUUUUAAGGCAUUGUGUUUGGUUGAUGAAAAAGAUCCUAAAGAUUCAUAAUUGCUCAGGAAAAAAUAUUGUCUUGACAAUAAUUUUUCCUUAAUAUGUUUUUUUAUCAGGAAAAAAACAACUUUAUUUAUUCUAAAAUGUGGUCUGAAAUUGUGUUCCAACAACCUCAAAAAUCCCAAAUGCCUUUCUCUAUUUUUUAAUUAUUCUUUUUAAUAUGCAAGUGUUAGUUUAGAUCUAAAACUAAUAAAGAGAAAUUAAAAACCAGCUUUAACGUAUUGAAAUGAUGAUGCACUACAAAAAUACAAUACCUAGAUUACAUUAGGUGUUUCUACUUUUUCCUUGACCUUCAACUUUGCUAGUCUUUAAAUCUUUUUUUUAUAGAUGCCAUUGACUUGGCAAUCCUGAUUAUAUUUUUCUCAAGUUGUUCUUUGGUUUUUUGGCUUGUUGUUGGAAUAAUUUGAAUAUUUUUUUCUUUUAAUCUGUAAUUGAUUUAUAUUUGCUUAGUUCGUAUUUUUCUUUUUUCUGAAUUUGAGGACAACCUUAUAGAUUUUACUUCUAUUUCUUUGACCUGAUUUGCUUUGCUGCUGAUAUGAUUAUGUAGGAUAUGGGGCUUCCACUGGUAAGGACUAAAGAUAUUGCAGGAUAUGAUACUUUUUCACAUGUUCCCCCUAGUUUGAGUUCCAUCCCACUGAUGAAGAUCGUACGUGUUGAUUGAUUACUAUCAUGGAAAAAAAAAAAAAAGUUACUUCAAGAAGAAUUGACUUGGAUGUCAUAAAAUUGAGCCAUGGGAUCUUCAAGGGAAGACCAAUGUGGCACCCAGAUUGGAGUCAAGUUCUGGGAGGUAUUGUGCGCCGAGCAUGUCGUUGACUCUACUGGAAGGCACCAUGGGGAUUCUGAUCUACAGCUAGAGAGAGUUAACAUCUACUACAACGAAGCCAGUCGUGGAUGAUUUGUUCCUAGGGUCGUGCUCAUGGAUUUGGAGCCUGAGACUAUGGACAGUGUAAGGAUUGGUCCUUAUGGCAAAAUAUUCAAGCCUGAUAACUUUGUUUUCAGGCAGUCCGGCGCCGCGAAAAAUUGGGCCAAGGUUUAUUAUAUGUAGGUAGUAGAGCUUAUCGACUUUGUUCUUGAUGUUGUAAGGAAGGAGGUAGAGAACUAUGACUGUCUAGAAGGCUUCUAGGAGUCCUACACAAUGGACUCAAGCUUAGCACCCCUAACUUUGGUGACCCGAACUACUCGAUCUCUAGGACUAUAAAUGGGGUACUCUUGCUGCUUGAGGCUACCUAGCCAGCUAAACUCAAACCUCCGCAAGCUGGUUGUGAACUUCAUCCCCCACCGUCACCAUCUGCUGGUGCUUCCCAUUGACAGAAAUUGCUUCACUACAAUAGGCCAUGCAUGCUAUUAUCACUUUAUUUAUUUUACAUUCUUUUUUUAGUUUUAUUUUUUCUUUGCAUUUCUAAGCUGCAUAAAUAUCAUAUGUUGUAAAUAAACGACCUAAGUGUUGGAGUAGUUAUGAAGGCGAGAGAAUCAAUUUUGCUUAAGGCCUUGUUUAACCGAAAACUUAGGGGGCAAGUUGAGGAGCAAUGCUUCCAAAUGUGGAAUGCAAUGAGCUCUAGUUAGAGAUGACUCACGUGAGGGUAAGAUAUUCUGGAUGUUUCCAGAGAAGAGUAUUUAAACAGAGCAGAAUCAACUCUGUGGGGAUCUUUUAGCUAUUUUUAGUCUUUGGAGAGAGAGAAAGCUAUAGUCAAGAACACUACACUCGAGUUUGGAGUUAUAAAUUAGGGUUGUUUUUAUGUUGCUCUGUACUGAUCCAGUUAUCCUAGAAAUGCAAUUCGUAAUUUUCUAA
Molecule: RNA transcript, 2837 nt
Organism: Vitis vinifera (wine grape)
Lineage: Eukaryota; Viridiplantae; Streptophyta; Magnoliopsida; Vitales; Vitaceae
Exons: 3
Source: RefSeq, a predicted model, not a curated record